Long non-coding RNA from Chelonia mydas (Green sea turtle), 1958 nucleotides. RefSeq lists it as uncharacterized. The transcript is spliced from 3 exons. NCBI's taxonomy places the organism in Eukaryota, Metazoa, Chordata, Testudines, Cheloniidae. The record is from RefSeq and is a predicted model, not a curated record.
ACUUGCUCAAUUAAACCCCAAAUACCUGCAAUCAAUAAAUAAGGAAUGACAACGCGUUUAAGGGAUUUACCCAGUAAAGGAAUUGAACUGGAAACAGAUUACACUCAAGAAGCCCUUUUUGUAAUUAAACAUACACCUCUCCCCAAUGGAAGAGGCAUGUAAAGGACAAGUCUUGGAAAAUCAAGAAGAAGAAGCCAGCUGGGAAGGAAGAAGAGCUCCUGUUUAUACAGAGAAAUCUGCCAUAACAACAACAACAGUAAAAUCAUUUGCAGUAAGAUUAUAAAAGGACCACUGCAAAGACUGGGACAGCUGGUCUACUGGAUGAAUACAGACACUUAUGAUUGUUUUGGAACACACUCAUCGUUCACCACAGAGGAACAGUUUUAAAGAUGUGAAUGUUUAUUUUAGGGUCUCGUCCUUGUGACGGGUUGUUCACAGCUGCCUCAGAGCUCCUUAGGAGUUGAGGGUGCUCACUGUCUUGCAAGAAAUAGUGCAUCUUCCUGCACGUGGGACCCUUUCUAUUAUAUUGAUCCAGACUGCAGCACAGAUGAUCAGGAAUGGUUUAAUAUAUAGAAGCCCAGCAGUGGGGUUAUGAAAACAAAGUUAACAAAAAUGCAAAGAAGAAAAGUGUUAGCAUUGCUGACUCAUUUGUUGUAAAAAAUUAAAGCAGAAUUGCAUACUUAAAUUCAUUUACAAAAAAAAAAAAUCAAUUGAGGAAACCACCUUGAUCAUCACACUCUUACUAGGAUUUUUUUGGAUACCUGCUAUUUAAAAGCAUUCAGAGAAAACACUUUUAUAAAGUAUUAUGCUCUUUUACAGUGCUCAGUGUGGCGGGUCUGAUCCACAGCUUAUUGAACUCAGUGGAAAUUUUCCUAUUGUCUUUUGUUGGCUUUGGAUCAGGGUCUUGGACUGUGUCGACACGACAAGCCCUGCAACUGUACAGCUACUGUACUGCAGCACAGACGCUUGCUACAGCAAUGGAAGGGAGUUUUCUGUCACUCGUAAAUCCAUUCCCUCAAGAGGUGGUGGCUAGGUUCUAGGAAGAAUUUUUCUAUCGAUUUAGUGGUGUCUACACCAGGGAUUAAGUUGGCUUAACUAGAUCUCUCGGGGGUGAGAAUUUUUCACACCCUGAGCGAUGUAACUGGGUUGACCUAAGUUUUAUGUGUAGACCAGGCCUUAGACAUUAGGGCAUGAUUCUUAAUUACCUCAUUCCCAGUGCUUGGGGCAGGAACAGAGGGAGCUCUGCAUUUGUGCUUCUCCUACUUUGGGCUCUUCUUAGGUUCAUGAGGUCUAUGGAAUACAUUAGAACUCUCUUAGCACUGCACUAAUGUAUGUUCUGCUUCUCAGGGCCACCUGUGAGGCAGAGAACAGCCAUAGAUCAGUGCGCUUGAUUGUGUUCAAUGUGAAGUUCUGCUUAAAAACUGAUAGCACAAUAUGGCCCCCUGGGUGAGUGUGGACAGAUGUGCAAAUACAUUUACUCUAAUAGUAUGAAUGCAUUUUUGGUCCUGAUCUAAAGACCAAAAAAUCAACUGGAAUCUAUAUGGGUCAGGCCAUAUAUGCCAUUUGGCUUUUUUUUGUGAUGAUUUAUUAUUGUAAUCACAAAGAAGGAACCAAAAGAAGUUGUUGCAGCCCAAUGCCAUGGUUUUCAGAUUAGAAAUACACCUCUGUUCCCCACUCGGAGUAUUUUUAGUUCACCUUAGAGGAAAAUCUCAAACUAAGCAAGUCUAAUUUUCACAGGAAGCAAGUGAUUCAUUUAAUAAGAUCUGACUAUUACUUAAAUUGUUUCAUGAAAUAUCUAUAUAAUUGUCCUGGUGUCAUUUUACUUGGCACCACAUAUGGGAAUAAUUGUGAAUGGCAUUGUUAUCCUGUACAAGGGUUUUUUAAGUCGUUACUGCAUACGAGACCUGAUUUUACUUGUGGUCUCAUGAGCAGUCAGUAGGUACGUUAAAUUAUUUGGU